GAUGAAGAACGUAGCGAAAUGCGAUAAGUAGUGUGAAUUGCAGAAUUCAGUGAAUCAUCGAAUCUUUGAACGCACAUUGCGCCCCUCGGUAUUCCGUGGGGCAUGCCUGUUCGAGCGUCAUUUAACCCCUCAAGCCUAGCUUGGUAUUGGGUGCUUGUCCCGCCUCUCGCGCGGCGACUCACCUCAAAGUCAUUGGCAGCCCGCAUCUCGCCGGCCGUGAGCGCAGUACAGACGCGCUCUUGGCAACGACGGAUCGGCUCUCCAAAAGCUUAUUUCAACCACUGACCUCGGAUCAGGUAGGGAUACCCGCUGAACUUAAGCAUAUCAAUAAGCGGAGGA
RNAcentral lists this unclassified non-coding RNA (339 nucleotides) under soil metagenome. RNAcentral's name for it is "partial contains 5.8S ribosomal RNA, internal transcribed spacer 2, and large subunit ribosomal RNA". The stretch from base 1 to 120 matches the Rfam family "5.8S ribosomal RNA", at positions 35 to 154 of the family's 154-position model. The record is from RNAcentral.